Long non-coding RNA from Anastrepha obliqua, 765 nucleotides. RefSeq lists it as uncharacterized. Lineage: Eukaryota; Metazoa; Arthropoda; Insecta; Diptera; Tephritidae. The transcript is spliced from 3 exons. The record is from RefSeq and is a predicted model, not a curated record.
UUACGAUAUCUCUGGUUUCUAACUUCAAAAGCAUCCGGUGCAUUAUCAACAUAAAAUGGUCACGUUCCUUGAAUGUCUUCCAAAUGUAGACCGACAAAAAUAAAAGAAUUCAACUAUUAGACCACUUUACCCAUUUGGACCGAAAUUUGUAUAGUAUAUCAGACACCGGCAGCUUCAUGACUGAAGCCGAAUGCCACAACAACUUGUGGUUAAGCUCAUUGACAGUCGCUCAUGUAAAAAGCAAUAAACAAAUUCACAUGCAUACAUAUGGCGUAUUCCGAGAAGAUAAACACACAACAGCCAUUUCCAGUGUAUUGGCUUGAUAAAAUCUGAGUGUUGCUGGCAAGGCGGUGGCGACGCCCGAAGUUGAUAUUAUUGUACUCUUCGAUUGUUGCUGUAAAUAGCUUCCCAUUGAGUCACAAUUCACAGUAGCCACGUAACGUCAUCAUGUCAGAGCUUUUCCCGCAACAAGGUGAAAUAGCUAAAUGUUUCUUGAAAUAUUGUCGUAUGCACAUAGUUACGCCAGCGAAAGCAACAGGAUGAAUAUAUUUAUACUACAUUCUAAAAUCCUGCGAUAAUUUUAAUCAGAUGCCUUUGAAUUUCAUAAUGAGCGAUACAUAAACAUUUUACAAUGAAAACAUAAACAGAGCAACUGAAACAGUUCAAAAUACAUCUCCCUUAACUUUAACGGGUCCUCGUAAAUGCUGUAGAAAUAGGCAAGAACACAGCCCAACAAAGGGGGGAAGAGGUUCACUCAACAGUUUU